Molecule: ribosomal RNA, 406 nt
Filed under: uncultured bacterium
Lineage: Bacteria
Description: partial 16S ribosomal RNA
Rfam family: Bacterial small subunit ribosomal RNA
Source: RNAcentral
AUUGAACGCUGGCGGCAGGCCUAACACAUGCAAGUCGAGCGAGCGGCGGACGGGUGAGUAAUGUCUGGGAAACUGCCUGAUGGAGGGGGAUAACUACUGGAAACGGUAGCUAAUACCGCAUACCAUCAGAAGUGCCCAGAUGGGAGUAGCUAGUAGGUGGGGUAACGGCUCACCUAGGCGACGAGCCCUAGCUGGUCUGAGAGGAUGACCAGACACACUGGAACGUAGAUACGGGCCAGACUCCUACGUGAGGCAGCAGUGGGGAAUAUUGAACAAGGGGCGCAAGCCUGAUGCAGCCAUGACGCGUGGGUGAAGAAGGCCUUCGGGUUGUAAAGCACUUUCAGCGGUGAGGCGUUACCCGCAGAAGAAGCACCGGCUAACUCCGGGCCAGCAGCCGCGGUAGUAC